Molecule: small nucleolar RNA, 106 nt
Filed under: Medicago truncatula (barrel medic)
Lineage: Eukaryota; Viridiplantae; Streptophyta; Magnoliopsida; Fabales; Fabaceae
Description: snoRNA gene38554
Rfam family: Plant small nucleolar RNA R71
About the family: R71 is a member of the C/D box family of snoRNAs containing the C (UGAUGA) and D (CUGA) box motifs.
Source: Rfam by way of RNAcentral
AAACCAUGAUAGUUGCAAAGCCUAAGCAUUUCUUUGAAACACUCUCACGCAUCGUAAAGAGAUUCCCCAUCUUUUUGAAUGAAUCGUGUGAUUUGAUUCCUUAACU